GGGGUCACUUGCUGCGUGUGCCAGGCUGGGGGCACAGGGAACACCCAGCAGGGCCCGACUGCACUGACCCUGCCCUUGCUUUUCUUACAGGACUGAUGGACAUGCCAGACAUGGAGUGGUUCUUUGUACAUAUGUUUUAGAUAUUGUUUUUCUUUUUCUAUAAAUAUGUUUUAUAGGUAGUAGGCUUUAUUAAGA
Molecule: long non-coding RNA, 195 nt
Organism: Empidonax traillii (willow flycatcher)
Lineage: Eukaryota; Metazoa; Chordata; Aves; Passeriformes; Tyrannidae
Exons: 3
Source: RefSeq, a predicted model, not a curated record